Molecule: ribosomal RNA, 1504 nt
Filed under: Lactiplantibacillus pentosus
Lineage: Bacteria; Bacillati; Bacillota; Bacilli; Lactobacillales; Lactobacillaceae
Description: bacterial SSU rRNA
Rfam family: Bacterial small subunit ribosomal RNA
Source: RNAcentral
UGGCUCAGGACGAACGCUGGCGGCGUGCCUAAUACAUGCAAGUCGAACGAACUCUGGUAUUGAUUGGUGCUUGCAUCAUGAUUUACAUUUGAGUGAGUGGCGAACUGGUGAGUAACACGUGGGAAACCUGCCCAGAAGCGGGGGAUAACACCUGGAAACAGAUGCUAAUACCGCAUAACAACUUGGACCGCAUGGUCCGAGUUUGAAAGAUGGCUUCGGCUAUCACUUUUGGAUGGUCCCGCGGCGUAUUAGCUAGAUGGUGAGGUAACGGCUCACCAUGGCAAUGAUACGUAGCCGACCUGAGAGGGUAAUCGGCCACAUUGGGACUGAGACACGGCCCAAACUCCUACGGGAGGUAGCAGUAGGGAAUCUUCCACAAUGGACGAAAGUCUGAUGGAGCAACGCCGCGUGAGUGAAGAAGGGUUUCGGCUCGUAAAACUCUGUUGUUAAAGAAGAACAUAUCUGAGAGUAACUGUUCAGGUAUUGACGGUAUUUAACCAGAAAGCCACGGCUAACUACGUGCCAGCAGCCGCGGUAAUACGUAGGUGGCAAGCGUUGUCCGGAUUUAUUGGGCGUAAAGCGAGCGCAGGCGGUUUUUUAAGUCUGAUGUGAAAGCCUUCGGCUCAACCGAAGAAGUGCAUCGGAAACUGGGAAACUUGAGUGCAGAAGAGGACAGAGGAACUCCAUGUGUAGCGGUGAAAUGCGUAGAUAUAUGGAAGAACACCAGUGGCGAAGGCGGCUGUCUGGUCUGUAACUGACGCUGAGGCUCGAAAGUAUGGGUAGCAAACAGGAUUAGAUACCCUGGUAGUCCAUACCGUAAACGAUGAAUGCUAAGUGUUGGAGGGUUUCCGCCCUUCAGUGCUGCAGCUAACGCAUUAAGCAUUCCGCCUGGGGAGUACGGCCGCAAGGCUGAAACUCAAAGGAAUUGACGGGGGCCCGCACAAGCGGUGGAGCAUGUGGUUUAAUUCGAAGCUACGCGAAGAACCUUACCAGGUCUUGACAUACUAUGCAAAUCUAAGAGAUUAGACGUUCCCUUCGGGGACAUGGAUACAGGUGGUGCAUGGUUGUCGUCAGCUCGUGUCGUGAGAUGUUGGGUUAAGUCCCGCAACGAGCGCAACCCUUAUUAUCAGUUGCCAGCAUUAAGUUGGGCACUCUGGUGAGACUGCCGGUGACAAACCGGAGGAAGGUGGGGAUGACGUCAAAUCAUCAUGCCCCUUAUGACCUGGGCUACACACGUGCUACAAUGGAUGGUACAACGAGUUGCGAACUCACGAGAGUAAGCUAAUCUCUUAAAGCCAUUCUCAGUUCGGAUUGUAGGCUGCAACUCGCCUACAUGAAGUCGGAAUCGCUAGUAAUCGCGGAUCAGCAUGCCGCGGUGAAUACGUUCCCGGGCCUUGUACACACCGCCCGUCACACCAUGAGAGUUUGUAACACCCAAAGUCGGUGGGGUAACCUUUUAGGAACCAGCCGCCUAAGGUGGGACAGAUGAUUAGGGUGAAGUCGU